AUGACCUGGGCUCUUCUCCUGCUCAGCUUCUUCAGUCAGGGCCCAGGGAUUUGGGCCCAGUUUGCUCUGAUUCAGCCUCCUUCAGUGUCUGGGACUCAGGGACAGACAGUCACCAUCUCCCGUACAGGAACCAGCGAUGACAUUGGGGCAUAUAACCUUGUCUCCUGGUACCAGCAGCAGGAGGGCACAGCUCCCAAAAUGCUGAUUUAUGUUGUCAACACUCGGCCAUCCGGAAUCCCUGAGCGCUUCUCUGGCUCCAAAUCUGGCAACACAGCGACCCUGACCAUCUCUGGGCUCAAGCCUGAGGACGAGGCUGAUUAUUACUGUUGCUCAGGCAGAACUGGUGGCCUGGCACAAUGGUUCAUGCUCAUAGGGAAGUGA
Non-coding RNA from Sorex araneus (European shrew), 381 nucleotides. Lineage: Eukaryota; Metazoa; Chordata; Mammalia; Eulipotyphla; Soricidae. The record is from the annotation of a RefSeq genome assembly.